UGGGGAAUAUUGCACAAUGGGCGAAAGCCUGAUGCAGCGACGCCGCGUGAGCGAUGAAGGCCUUCGGGUCGUAAAGCUCUGUCCUAAGGGAAGAAACCUGACGGUACCUUAGGAGGAAGCCCCGGCUAACUACGUGCCAGCAGCCGCGGUAAUACGUAGGGGGCGAGCGUUGUCCGGAUUUACUGGGCGUAAAGGGUGUGUAGGCGGCCUAGCAAGUCAGGGGUUAAAGCCCUCGGCUCAACCGAGGUAAGCCCUUGAAACUGUUAGGCUUGAGCGCAGGAGAGGAGAGUGGAAUUCCUAGUGUAGCGGUGAAAUGCGUAGAUAUUAGGAGGAACACCAGUGGCGAAGGCGACUCUCUGGACUGUAGCUGACGCUGAGACACGAAAGCGUGGGGAGCGAACAGG
RNAcentral lists this ribosomal RNA (404 nucleotides) under uncultured bacterium. Its description in RNAcentral is "bacterial SSU rRNA". It matches the Rfam family "Bacterial small subunit ribosomal RNA", at positions 355 to 776 of the family's 1533-position model. The record is from RNAcentral.